UGGGGAAUAUUGGACAAUGGGCGAAAGCCUGAUCCAGCCAUGCCGCGUGUGUGAAGAAGGUCUUCGGAUUGUAAAGCACUUUAAGUUGGGAGGAAGGGCAGUAAGCGAAUACCUUGCUGUUUUGACGUUACCGACAGAAUAAGCACCGGCUAACUCUGUGCCAGCAGCCGCGGUAAUACAGAGGGUGCAAGCGUUAAUCGGAAUUACUGGGCGUAAAGCGCGCGUAGGUGGUUCGUUAAGUUGAAUGUGAAAGCCCCGGGCUCAACCUGGGCACUGCAUCCAAAACUGGCGGGCUAGAGUAGGGCAGAGGGUGGUGGAAUUUCCUGUGUAGCGGUGAAAUGCGUAGAUAUAGGAAGGAACACCAGUGGCGAAGGCGACCACCUGGGCUCAUACUGACACUGAGGUGCGAAAGCGUGGGGUGCAAACAGG
Molecule: ribosomal RNA, 429 nt
Filed under: Pseudomonadota bacterium
Lineage: Bacteria; Pseudomonadati; Pseudomonadota
Description: Proteobacteria bacterium partial 16S ribosomal RNA
Rfam family: Bacterial small subunit ribosomal RNA
Source: RNAcentral